AUUGAACGCUGGCGGCAUGCUUUACACAUGCAAGUCGAACGGCAGCGCGGGCUUCGGCCUGGCGGCGAGUGGCGAACGGGUGAGUAAUGCAUCGGAACGUGCCCAGUAGGGGGGGAUAGCCCGGCGAAAGCCGGAUUAAUACCGCAUACGACCUGAGGGUGAAAGCGGGGGACCGAAAGGCCUCGCGCUAUUGGAGCGGCCGAUGUCGGAUUAGCUAGCUGGUGGGGUAAAGGCUUACCAAGGCGACGAUCCGUAGCUGGUCGGAGAGGACGACCAGCCACACUAGGACUGGGACACGGCCCAGACUCCUGCGGGAGGCAGCAGUGGGGAAUGUUGGACAGUGGGGGCAACCAUGGUCCAGCCGUGCCGCGUGCGAGAAGAAGGCCUUCGGGUUGUAAACCGCUUUUGUUCGGGAAGAAAUGCUCUGGGCUAAUACACCGGGGGGAUGACGGUACCGGAAAAAUAAGCACCGGCUAACUACGUG
This 484-nucleotide ribosomal RNA is filed under the name uncultured bacterium. Its description in RNAcentral is "partial 16S ribosomal RNA". It matches the Rfam family "Bacterial small subunit ribosomal RNA", at positions 28 to 507 of the family's 1533-position model. The record is from RNAcentral.